Molecule: ribosomal RNA, 253 nt
Filed under: uncultured bacterium
Lineage: Bacteria
Description: partial 16S ribosomal RNA
Rfam family: Bacterial small subunit ribosomal RNA
Source: RNAcentral
UACGUAGGGGGCAAGCGUUGUCCGGAUUUAUUGGGCGUAAAGAGCGUGUAGGCGGCCUGAAAGGUCAGCUGUGAAAACUCGAGGCUCAACCUCGAGACGUCGGUUGAAACCAUCUGGUUAGAGUCCGGAAGAGGAGUGUGGAAUUCCCGGUGUAGCGGUGAAAUGCGCAGAUAUCGGGAAGAACACCCGUGGCGAAGGCGGCACUCUGGGACGGUACUGACGCUGAGACGCGAAAGCGUGGGGAGCGAACAGG